GACGAACGCUGGCGGCGUGCUUAACACAUGCAAGUCGAACGGAAAGGCCCUGCUUUUGUGGGGUGCUCGAGUGGCGAACGGGUGAGUAACACGUGAGUAACCUGCCCUUGACUUUGGGAUAACUUCAGGAAACUGGGGCUAAUAUCGGAUAUGAGCUCCUGCUGCAUGGUGUGGGUUGGAAAGUUUCGGCGGUUGGGGAUGGACUCGCGGCUUAUCAGCUUGUUGGUGGGGUAGUGGCUUACCAAGGCUUUGACGGGUAGCCGGCCUGAGAGGGUGACCGGCCACAUUGGGACUGAGAUACGGACCAGAAUCCUACGGGAGGCAGCAGGGGGGAAUAUUGCACAAUGGGCGGAAGCCUGAGGCAGAAACGCCGCGUGCGGGAUGACGGCCUUCGGGUUGUAAACCGCUGUCGCCGGUGACGAAGAGUGAGUGACGGUAAUGGGUAAAGAAGCACCGGCUAACUACGUG
Molecule: ribosomal RNA, 468 nt
Filed under: uncultured bacterium
Lineage: Bacteria
Description: partial 16S ribosomal RNA
Rfam family: Bacterial small subunit ribosomal RNA
Source: RNAcentral